ACAGUAGCCUUCUUUUAUUUAUUAUUUUUUGAGAUGGAGUUUCACUGUUUCACCCAGGCUGGAGUGAAGUGGUGCAAUCUCAGCUCACUGCAAACUCCGCCCCCUGGGUUCAAGUGAUUCUCUUGCCUCAGCCUCCCGAGUAGCUGGGAUUACAAGAGUGCACCGCCAUGCCCAGCUAAUUUCUGUAUUUUUAGUAGAGACAGGGUUUUGCCAUGUUGGCCAGGCUGGUCUGGAACUCCUGACCUUAGGUGAUCCAUCUGCCUCGGCCUCCAAAAGUGUGAAGAUUACAGGCCUGAGUCACCGCGCCCGGCUGACAGUAGCUUUCUAAUGGAGCCAUCUGCUUCCAGUCUUGCCUCUCAACCCCCAAUUCAUCCUGGACUCCUUGCCAUAAGUGACCUUGCUAAAUGGAGAUUUGCCUCAGGCUCUGGAGCCAGAGAAACUUAGGUUUCCAGCUCAACUACUUAUUCACAAAAGUUCAAGGGCAAGUGUUUUCAUCUGGACUUCAAUAUUACGAACUACACAAUGGGAAACUUGCUCUAAAGAAAAAUUGCUGGAUUAAGGGAUGUGAAUAUUUUAGCAGUGCUUGACACUUAGCCAAAUUGCCUUCCAGAAGUGAUGAAACAACUUACCCUCCCACAGGCAGCUCAUGAAACCUCCUGUCUCACCAAACUAGGUAUUGGAAUUCUAAAAAGAAAAUAAAGCUGUUUGCCAAUUUGAGAGUCUCUGUUGAUUUACUUGGGCAUUUCUCACCUUCCUGUCAGAGGGCCAGGUGGGAGCUCCUGGUUAGGAGGAAGGAGGGGCCUUAGG
This 807-nucleotide long non-coding RNA is filed under the name Homo sapiens (human). RNAcentral's name for it is "HSALNT0180978". The record is from RNAcentral. Lineage: Eukaryota; Metazoa; Chordata; Mammalia; Primates; Hominidae.